GGAGGGGUGGCAGAGCGGUUGAAUGCACCAGUCUUGAAAACUGGCAGGCUGAAAGGUCUCGUGGGUUCGAAUCCCNCCCCCUCCGCCA
This 88-nucleotide transfer RNA is filed under the name Verrucomicrobiales bacterium. Its description in RNAcentral is "tRNA-Ser". It matches the Rfam family "tRNA". Rfam says of the family: Transfer RNA (tRNA) molecules are approximately 80 nucleotides in length. Lineage: Bacteria; Pseudomonadati; Verrucomicrobiota; Verrucomicrobiia; Verrucomicrobiales. The record is from RNAcentral.